AUACGUAGGGGGCAAGCGUUGUCCGGAAUCAUUGGGCGUAAAGGGCGCGUAGGCGGAUACUUAAGUCUGGUGUGAAAACCUAGGGCUCAACCCUGGGACUGCAUCGGAAACUGGGUAUCUUGAGGACAGGAGAGGAAAGUGGAAUUCCACGUGUAGCGGUGAAAUGCGUAGAUAUGUGGAGGAACACCAGUGGCGAAGGCGACUUUCUGGACUGUAACUGACGCUGAGGCGCGAAAGCGUGGGGAGCAAACAGGAUUAGAUACCCUGGUAGUCCACGCCGUAAACGAUGAGUGCUAGGUGUAGAGGGUAUCGACCCCUUCUGUGCCGCAGUUAACACACUAAGCACUCCGCCUGGGGAGUACGGCCGCAAGGUUGA
This 376-nucleotide ribosomal RNA is filed under the name uncultured bacterium. RNAcentral describes it as "bacterial SSU rRNA". It matches the Rfam family "Bacterial small subunit ribosomal RNA", at positions 523 to 897 of the family's 1533-position model. The record is from RNAcentral.